RNAcentral lists this transfer RNA (19 nucleotides) under Pelomys fallax (creek groove-toothed swamp rat). Its description in RNAcentral is "partial tRNA-Lys". Lineage: Eukaryota; Metazoa; Chordata; Mammalia; Rodentia; Muridae. The record is from RNAcentral.
CACUGCGAAGCUAAGAGCG